This 462-nucleotide ribosomal RNA is filed under the name uncultured bacterium. Its description in RNAcentral is "partial 16S ribosomal RNA". It matches the Rfam family "Bacterial small subunit ribosomal RNA", at positions 28 to 507 of the family's 1533-position model. The record is from RNAcentral.
GACGAACGCUGGCGGCGUGCUUAACACAUGCAAGUCGAACGGAAAGGCCCUUCGGGGUACUCGCGUGGCGAACGGGUGAGUAACACGUGGGUGAUCUGCUCUGCACUUUGGGAUAAGCCUGGGAAACUGGGUCUAGUACCGAAUAGGACCACGCGCUUCAUGGCGUGUGGUGGAAAGCUUUUGCGGCGUGGGAUGGGCCCGCUGCCUAUCAGCUCGUUGGUGGGGUACUGGCCUACCAAGGCGCCGACGGGUAGCCGGCCUGAGAGGGUGACCGGCCACACUGGGACUGAGAUACGGCGCAGACUCCUACGGGAGGCAGCAGUGGGGAAUAUUGCACAAUGGGCGCAAGCGUGAUGCAGCGACGCCGCGUGAGGGAUGACGGCCUUCGGGUUGUAAACCUCUUUCAAUAGGGACGAAGCGCAAGUGACGGUACCUAUAGAAGAAGCACCGGCCAACUACGUG